CGAGCACGCGCGUGUGGCAUAUCAAUAAGCGGAGGAAAAGAAACUAACAAGGAUUCCCUUAGUAACGGCGAGUGAAGCGGGAAGAGCUCAAAUUUGAAAUCUUCAAGGUUCUACCUUGACGAAUUGUAGUUUAUAGAAGUGUUUUCUGUUAGUAGGAGUGGCAAAAGUUCUUUGGAAUAGGACAUCAUAGAGGGUGAGAAUCCCGUAUUUGGUCAUUCUUCCUAGCGUUGUGAUACACUUUCAACGAGUCGGAUUGUUUGGGAAUGCAGUCCAAGAUGGGUGGUAAAUUUCAUCUAAAGCUAAAUAUUGGCGAGAGACCGAUAGCGAACAAGUACCGUGAGGGAAAGAUGAAAAGAACUUUGAAAAGAGAGUUAAACAGUACGUGAAAUUGUCAAAAGGGAAGCGUUUGACACCAGUGUUGUUUUUCCGAAAAUCAAUUACGAAUGUUUUGUUUUUGAGGAGUUAUGACUUCAUCGGCUUGCUUCUUUCUUUACGAAACUUUCUUAAUGCACUUUUCGGUUAACAAGUCAACAUCAAUUUCUUUGUUGUAAAAGGGUACGAGGAAGGUGGCUUUCUUUUCGGAGAAAGUGUUUAUAGCCUUGUGCCUCUGCAAUCGGAGAGAUUGAGGUCUGCAGCGUAGAUCCUUCGGGGUUAGAUACGUUUGUGCUAAGUUAUAGCUUUUCAUAGACAACUUGUUGACUAUGUUUAGUCUUGUAGCUUACUCGCUGAUGCUAUUUUACCUACGCUUAGGAUGUUGAUGUGAUACUGCGAGCA
This 774-nucleotide ribosomal RNA is filed under the name uncultured Neocallimastigales. Its description in RNAcentral is "partial large subunit ribosomal RNA". It matches the Rfam family "Eukaryotic large subunit ribosomal RNA", at positions 19 to 646 of the family's 3401-position model. Lineage: Eukaryota; Fungi; Neocallimastigomycota; Neocallimastigomycetes; Neocallimastigales. The record is from RNAcentral.